Long non-coding RNA from Betta splendens (Siamese fighting fish), 712 nucleotides. RefSeq lists it as uncharacterized. The record is from RefSeq and is a predicted model, not a curated record. The transcript has 2 exons. NCBI's taxonomy places the organism in Eukaryota, Metazoa, Chordata, Actinopteri, Anabantiformes, Osphronemidae.
GGCACAUCUGACUGGAACAGGCACAAAAACAGCAGCACCAAGUGGUGGAUUCAUUUCAGCGCUGACUGGGAUCCACAGGCAUCAACAGAAGUCCCAGGUACAGGUUCAGCUGCAGACAUGUCAACGAGGCCAGGUACUGCUGAUGAUACACGCAUGAUGAACGCAGACAGGAUUUGCUUGAUGAUCUGUGCUGCUGGUCUUGUUUUUAGUCAAAAUCCUCAACUCAGUUGGCUUCUGUAUCAGCAAACUGUUGACAUUCUCCUAAUCAGAAAAGUCAAAGCAAGGACAUCACUUCCUGUGCCUCAGUGUGAGGCGGCAGCUUGCUGUUGGACAUGUUUCAGUCUUAGCUUGUGUUUGCUGGAAACUAGAUUAUUACACAACCCACUGCUGUGAUACAUUAUUCAAUCUGUUUUCACCUGGAAGGGUGGACCAUGUUCUCUGGGACUCUUGUGGUGGUGGUGCUGGUCCUCCUUCUGUGUAGGCGGGUCCUGUGGCAUGGACUAUGCAUCUUCAUUUACGAGAAAUGGCUCAAGAGACCUGCAAGGACCAGAGGAGAAAAACGCAGACUGCCUGGAGAAGCGACGAACGGAUGACACAUCUGAGCUCUCUGCGUGUCAUCCUUUGCUGUAUUGUUUCCCUGUGAAUGCCCACAAAAAGACAUGUAACAAUCUGGACCCCACUUUAUUAUUAAAUGUAUCAAUGUGAAAUGCGA